CAUUGUUUAAAAGUGCUACUCUUAAAAAUGGUAUAAUGAGUGUUCCUGCCGAUGUCAAUGAACAAUAAUAAAGUAUUGUGCAUUAGUACUAACUUAUUUAGAUAUAGGUACUUAUAUGUGUGACACAUGCGUAAUUUUCAAAUUAUUAGAAAUGUCGAGAAGUUAACUAAUAUACAAAAUAUUUAGGAUCUUCAUAUCUUACUACAUCCGCCCAGUUUCAAAAUUGCAUGAAUUUACGAAGAUCUAUUUUCAAUCUAUGAGUUUGACUAUCCCUCUGGUAUCUUUCGUCCCCCUUUUACUGUAUAGAAAGCUUAUGUUUUCACACUGUACUGACUUGUGUAAGUGCUGGAAUUGUAGUUUGUUUACACAAUUUAUACACACUCAUAGUAGUUACCAGGAUUUAAUUUUGUAUUUGAACUGACGCUCGAUUAAAAAAAAAGUUAAAAAGGCCAAAUCAAGUACACAGUUGAGGAGCAUGAAGACCAAAUACAGCUAAGGUAAUAUAUUACUGAGGUAGAAAAGCCUUAGUUUUUUCAAAUAUUUACAUUUUUUAAAACUGUUAAUUCACAGUUAUGACUAUAUCAAUGAUAGUUCGUGUCUACACAUCUGUUUGUGUCCAUGUACGAAGAUAGAACUAUAACAUCACAAAAUAGGUUUGACUGUUUGACUCGUUUUUUAAUAAGCCUCUCC
Molecule: long non-coding RNA, 690 nt
Filed under: Mytilus galloprovincialis (Mediterranean mussel)
Lineage: Eukaryota; Metazoa; Mollusca; Bivalvia; Mytilida; Mytilidae
Source: RNAcentral